UUCGCCACGCAUACAAUCCUCCAAAAAGCAGCACCUUAUUUCUGGCGCUAAGGAGUUCGCGAUAACACAUUAUAUUCUCGCGCAUGGCGAUAGCAUUACCUUUACAAGAAUAUCGCGGACAUCAUUAUUGCACUACUUGUCGUGCAGCCCCAGCAACCAUACUCUCCGAAUCAAGUACACAUGACGUCAGAAUACGGUGUAGUUUGUUUGCUCAUGGUUACAAUUUUACUUCUGGCAAAUUCCGGUUCAAUGUGGAAAAUAAAUCAGACUGAAGAACAGUCUCGAAAAAGACCAACUAUGCAUCCAGUAAAGGGUGAGUGUUCUAUGUAAAAGUCACCCGGUUUCGU
This 347-nucleotide long non-coding RNA is filed under the name Dermacentor andersoni. RNAcentral describes it as "uncharacterized LOC126534916". Lineage: Eukaryota; Metazoa; Arthropoda; Arachnida; Ixodida; Ixodidae. The record is from RNAcentral.